Molecule: unclassified non-coding RNA, 376 nt
Filed under: uncultured Actinomycetes bacterium
Lineage: Bacteria; Bacillati; Actinomycetota; Actinomycetes
Description: uncultured actinobacterium contains 16S-23S intergenic spacer region
Source: RNAcentral
UCCGAGUUGACCCCGGCAGUCUCCUGCGAGUCCCCGGCUUUACCCGCUGGCAACACAGGACAAGGGUUGCGCUCGUUGCGGGACUUAACCCAACAUCUCACGACACGAGCUGACGACAACCAUGCACCACCUGUACACCGACCUUACGGGGAGCACAUCUCUGCACUUUUCCGGUGUAUGUCAAGCCUUGGUAAGGUUCUUCGCGUUGCAUCGAAUUAAUCCGCAUGCUCCGCCGCUUGUGCGGGCCCCCGUCAAUUCCUUUGAGUUUUAGCCUUGCGGCCGUACUCCCCAGGCGGAGUGCUUAAUGCGUUAGCUACGGCACGGAAAGCGUGAAUGCUCCCCACACCUAGCGCCCAACGUUUACAGCGUGGACUAC